AGAGUUUGAUCCUGGCUCAGGAUGAACGCUAGCGACAGGCUUAACACAUGCAAGUCGAGGGGCAGCGGGGGAUGCGUUCGCGCAUUCUGCCGGCGACCGGCGCACGGGUGAGUAACACGUAUGCAACCUGCCCCGUCCAGGGGGAUAAUCGGCGGAAACGCCGUCUAAUACCGCGUAUAUCGGUACCGGGCAUCCGGGAUUGAAGAAAGGGCCUUAGGGUCCGGGACGGGAUGGGCAUGCGGCGCAUUAGGAAGUUGGCGGUGUAACGGACCACCAAUCCGUCGAUGCGUAGGGGUUCUGAGAGGAAGGCCCCCCACACUGGUACUGAGACACGGACCAGACUCCUACGGGAGGCAGCAGUGAGGAAUAUUGGUCAAUGGGCGGGAGCCUGAACCAGCCAAGUCGCGUGAGGGAAGAAGGUACUGAGUAUUGUAAACCUCUUUUGCCAGGGGACAAAGGCGGCCACGGGUGGCCGUAAGAGGGUACCUGGAGAAAAAGCAUCGGCUAACUCCGUGCCAGCAGCCGCGGUAAUACGGAGGAUGCGAGCGUUAUCCGGAUUUAUUGGGUUUAAAGGGUGCGCAGGCGGCGCGUCAAGUCAGCGGUAAAAUGUCGGGGCUCAACCCCGGCCGGCCGUUGAAACUGGCGUGCUCGAGUUGGAGAGAAGUAUGCGGAAUUCGUGGUGUAGCGGUGAAAUGCAUAGAUAUCACGAAGAACCCCGAUUGCGAAGGCAGCAUACCGGCUCCACACUGACGCUGAGGCACGAAAGCGUGGGUAUCGAACAGGAUUAGAUACCCUGGUAGUCCACGCAGUAAACGAUGAA
RNAcentral lists this ribosomal RNA (820 nucleotides) under uncultured bacterium. Its description in RNAcentral is "bacterial SSU rRNA". It matches the Rfam family "Bacterial small subunit ribosomal RNA", at positions 8 to 813 of the family's 1533-position model. The record is from RNAcentral.